This 268-nucleotide ribosomal RNA is filed under the name uncultured Eubacteriales bacterium. RNAcentral's name for it is "uncultured Clostridiales bacterium partial 16S ribosomal RNA". It matches the Rfam family "Bacterial small subunit ribosomal RNA", at positions 75 to 339 of the family's 1533-position model. The record is from RNAcentral. Lineage: Bacteria; Bacillati; Bacillota; Clostridia; Eubacteriales.
AGUGCUUGCACUUGGAUGGACUGAGUGGCGGACGGGUGAGUAACGCGUGGGUAACCUGCCUUAUACAGGGGGAUAACAGUUGGAAACGACUGCUAAUACCGCAUAAUGUACCGAGAGGGCAUCCUCAUGGUACCAAAGAUUUAUCGCUGAAAGAUGAGUUCGCGUCUGAUUAGCUAGUUGGUGGGGUAACGGCCCACCAAGGCGACGAUCAGUAGCCGGGUUGAGAGACUGACCGGCCACAUUGGGACUGAGAUACGGCCCAGACUCC